GACUACAUGAAGCUGGAAUCGCUAGUAAUCGCAGGUCAGCAUACUGCGGUGAAUACGUUCCCGGGCCUUGUACACACCGCCCGUCACACCAUGGGAGCCGGAAAUGCCCGAAGCCAGUGACCCAACCUUAGGGAGGGAGCUGUCGAAGGUGGAGCCGGUAACUGGGGUGAAGUCGUAACAAGGUAUC
This 187-nucleotide ribosomal RNA is filed under the name uncultured bacterium. Its description in RNAcentral is "partial 16S ribosomal RNA". It matches the Rfam family "Bacterial small subunit ribosomal RNA", at positions 1314 to 1500 of the family's 1533-position model. The record is from RNAcentral.